UACGGAGGGAGCUAGCGUUGUUCGGAAUUACUGGGCGUAAAGCGUACGUAGGCGGUUAUUCAAGUCAGAGGUGAAAGCCCGGGGCUCAACCCCGGAACUGCCUUUGAAACUAAGAUAGCUAGAAUCUUGGAGAGGUCGAGUGGAAUUCCGAGUGUAGAGGUGAAAUUCGUAGAUAUUCGGAAGAACACCAGUGGCGAAGGCGACUGACUGGACAAGUAUUGACGCUGAGGUACGAAAGCGUGGGGAGCGAACAGG
RNAcentral lists this ribosomal RNA (255 nucleotides) under uncultured bacterium. Its description in RNAcentral is "partial 16S ribosomal RNA". It matches the Rfam family "Bacterial small subunit ribosomal RNA", at positions 524 to 776 of the family's 1533-position model. The record is from RNAcentral.